Molecule: long non-coding RNA, 737 nt
Organism: Myxocyprinus asiaticus (Chinese sucker)
Lineage: Eukaryota; Metazoa; Chordata; Actinopteri; Cypriniformes; Catostomidae
Exons: 3
Source: RefSeq, a predicted model, not a curated record
UAAAGUUUAUGGGGUGAUGAUGGGGUAGACAGCAACUGGAAGAAUGAUGCACUUGCCGUGUGUGGCGGGAGCAGUGUUGGGUAGAUUACUUCUUAAAUGUAAUCUGGUACUGAUUACAAAUUGCACAAGAAAAACUGCAAUAGUGUCCAUGUGCCUGUCCAGUCAUGUGCCACUCAAGACUCCAGACUUCAUCUCCACAUCUCAAUCCUAAAGGCUUUUCCUUAAGCAAGAUUUUUAGCCUAUUCCCCUGGCAGGUGGAGACGUCUGGGUAAUCUUCCUUGCCUACGCCCUUACUUGGGUCUGAAUAAGACAGCGUUGUUUGUCAAUUCAUCCUUAAGGAGUGUAUGUGACGGUUGUGAAAAUGAGACGGUUGCAAUUGAUUUGGUUGCAUCUGGUCUUUUCCUCUUGUUAAACCUACAUCCGCUAGACCAUGACAGCUUUAACAGACUCACAUGCUGACAGUGAUUUUGACGAGUGGCACGGACAUCCGCAGGUAGUGGGGGUUUGUCUGACUUCAGCCUCUGUAAUUAUCACAGCUUCUGUUAUCCCUCAAGCAUGCUGACUGGCAACUAGCAUCCAGAAGCUCUUAAAACAAAUGCUGUACAGCUAGAAUUAAAGAGAUAGUUCCCCGCAAAUAUGCAAAUUUUGUCAUCAUUUAUUCACCCUCAUGGCAUUGUGACUUUCUUUCGAAAAGAAAUGUUAGGCCGAAUGUUAGCCUCAGUCACCAUUCACUUUCA